This 455-nucleotide ribosomal RNA is filed under the name uncultured Pelotomaculum sp. RNAcentral describes it as "bacterial SSU rRNA". It matches the Rfam family "Bacterial small subunit ribosomal RNA", at positions 927 to 1382 of the family's 1533-position model. Lineage: Bacteria; Bacillati; Bacillota; Clostridia; Eubacteriales; Desulfotomaculaceae. The record is from RNAcentral.
AAGCGGUGAGCAUGUGGUUAAUUCGAAGCAACGCGAAGAACCUUACCAGGGCUUGACAUCCCCUGACCGCGUAUGAAAGUACGUUUUCACCCUCGGGUGACAGGGAGACAGGUGGUGCAUGGUUGUCGUCAGCUCGUGUCGUGAGAUGUUGGGUUAAGUCCCGCAACGAGCGCAACCCCUACGUUUAGUUGCUAACGCGUGAAGGCGAGCACUCUAGACGAACUGCCGUUGACAAAACGGAGGAAGGUGGGAUGACGUCAAAUCAUCAUGCCCCUUAUGUUCUGGGCUACACACGUGCUACAAUGGCCGGUACAGACGGACGCAAAGCCGCGAGGUGGAGCAAAUCCUAAAAAGCCGGUCUCAGUUCGGAUUGCAGGCUGCAAUUCGCCUGCAUGAAGUCGGAAUCGCUAGUAAUCGCAGGUCAGCAUACUGCGGUGAAUACGUUCCCGGGCCUU